Non-coding RNA from Zootermopsis nevadensis, 73 nucleotides. Lineage: Eukaryota; Metazoa; Arthropoda; Insecta; Blattodea; Termopsidae. The record is from Rfam.
GCCACGGUGGUCUAGCGGUUAGAACGCUCGCCUUGUAAUCCUGGGGUCUCGGGUUCGAUUCCCGGCGGUGCCC